Molecule: ribosomal RNA, 253 nt
Filed under: uncultured bacterium
Lineage: Bacteria
Description: partial 16S ribosomal RNA
Rfam family: Bacterial small subunit ribosomal RNA
Source: RNAcentral
UACGUAGGGGGCAAGCGUUGUCCGGAAUUAUUGGGCGUAAAGAGCUCGUAGGUGGUCUGUCGCGUCGGCUGUGAAAACUCGGGGCUCAACCCCGAGCCUGCAGUCGAUACGGGCAGACUUGAGUGCGGUAGGGGAGACUGGAAUUCCUGGUGUAGCGGUGAAAUGCGCAGAUAUCAGGAGGAACACCGGCGGCGAAGGCGGCUUCCUGGUCCAGCACCGACGUUCAGGCACGAAAGCGUGGGGAGCAAACAGG